This 599-nucleotide ribosomal RNA is filed under the name uncultured eukaryote. RNAcentral describes it as "bacterial SSU rRNA". It matches the Rfam family "Eukaryotic small subunit ribosomal RNA", at positions 4 to 565 of the family's 1831-position model. The record is from RNAcentral.
CUGGUUGAUCCUGCCAGUUGUCAUAUGCUUGUUUCAAGGACUAAGCCAUGCAAAUGUCAGAGUACCGCUGCGCAAGCAGUGGGGGUCUGUGUACGGCUCAUUAAACGGUUUAUAGUCUGCCCAACAAAGAAGGCAUCCGUGCCUUUCCUAUGGGAUAUCUUUGCGAAACGCAAAGCUAAUACCUGUAAGAAAAAUCCCCGCUAUCAAACACCCUGGGGUAACUUAGGGUGUGGCGGGCGAUGUGAUUGGCCGAAACAAAGAUGGACGCCCGACAAGGGCAGCUGCAAUUGUUGACGCAGGCCAAAGUCGCUAAAGCACUUUUCAGUGCGACGUUGGACGAAUUUACCACCUAUCAGGUAUCGAAGGUAGUGUAGUGGACUACCUUGCCUCUGACGGGUAACGGGGGAUUGGGGUUCGAUUCCGGAGAGGGUGCCUGAGAGACGGCAACCAUGACUAUGGUCAGCAGCAGGCGCGCAAAUUGCCCAAUGUCAACAAAUUGGCGAGGCAGCGACGAAAAAUAGCUGUCCCCCCUAAAAAGGGGAUUUGCAAUGGACUGUACCCAAAUAAACUUAUGAAUACUAUUGGAGGGCAAGUCUGGU